UAAACCACUUGACUUAAACAAAAUUAAAACCACAUCACAUGGGGGACCACACUACAAGACCACUUUAACAGCAUAUGCAUAAAAAAAAUACACCGACAAAACUACAAAUAUGGCAGACCACAUCACUAAAUCAAACAUGGGGGACCAUUAUCGAAAGUAAAAAUACAAUUGUAUAUGCCAAAUUAUCGAAAUAACACAAUAUACUAACCUUAACACGUGCUUGAAGUGAAACCAAAUUCUCCAGACCUUUCCAUGACAAAACCACCGAUAGAUGAAGAUUUUCACCCAAAACCUGCCUUUUUGUCAGCCUAAUUUCUGAUAUAAAGCAUCGCUCACCGCUGUUCCCCAAUUCCCGACCACCACGAACCGUAUUUCCCCAAUUUCGCACACGACCAAUUUCUCCAAACCUAGAUUCUUUUAAUCAACUCAUAUCACUUUUCCCAAUUUCCCCAUUUUACCCUUACUUAAACUUAAAGCACAUGUUAUUAAAAUUUUAAUCC
This 500-nucleotide long non-coding RNA is filed under the name Vigna radiata. Its description in RNAcentral is "long non-coding RNA (VRAD_LNC017189)". The record is from RNAcentral. Lineage: Eukaryota; Viridiplantae; Streptophyta; Magnoliopsida; Fabales; Fabaceae.